UCUGGACACAGCCCUUAGCCGUGGUAUAUUGGUCAUAUACUACAAACCCCCGAGGUGCCUUAUUGCUAUUAUAAACUGGUUACAAGUGUAAUUAUAGCAGGAAAAACAAAUGUUUUGUCAUACCCCUGGUAUAUAUCUGAUAUACCAUGGGGUAUGAUAUACCAUUAGCACUCAGGGCUCUACCACCCAGUUUAUAAUUAGAUAUAAGCAACUGGAGACAACUCACCACUCAGAUAUAUUUUGGUCCAUGACCAUGGUUCCAACAUGGCCAUUUAGCCUAGUCCCCAAUGCCUGGCCAACGUUUGCGUCGCGUGCGGGUGGAAAGACAGACCGCGAAUGGACAGGCACAUCGCGGCGCCUGCGCGUAGUCUCUGUUUAGCGUUCCACCACAAAUCAACAAGAGGAUCGACAUUAAACUAAGUGGGAUCAUUAAACAAGGGGGAAGAUGAACAAUAGCCUCUCUCUCAAAGCAGAUGACAGGAUCAUUUAUGAAAUGGCAACAAAGGAAUGAACAAAAGUCAUGAGUUACACACUGAA
This is a non-coding RNA of Salmo salar (Atlantic salmon), 537 nucleotides long. The record is from RefSeq and is a predicted model, not a curated record. Lineage: Eukaryota; Metazoa; Chordata; Actinopteri; Salmoniformes; Salmonidae.